This 2217-nucleotide long non-coding RNA is filed under the name Aquilegia coerulea. Its description in RNAcentral is "long non-coding RNA (ACOE_LNC001758)". The record is from RNAcentral. Lineage: Eukaryota; Viridiplantae; Streptophyta; Magnoliopsida; Ranunculales; Ranunculaceae.
AUCGAUUAUAAGGUAGAAAGUAUUGCCAGGAAUAUAAAAGGCCUGAAAAAAUGUUUAAUUUCUCCGUAGUUUGGAUUAUAUUGAUGUAAUCAAUUUGACUUCAAAUGUAGGUUGUUACUGAUUGCGAAUUUCCAUAUCCAUAACUCUGUUAAAUCCAACAAUUGAAGGUUCUAUCAGCUCAAUCAAAUCACUUACAUCUGUGUUCUCUUCCUAUUAUACCAAGGUACUAUUUUGACUCUUAAAUUGGGUUUUAAUUUUGAACUCACCAUCUUUCCUUUCCUUAACUUUUUGUAAUAUAUGUUGACUUGCCUUUGUUUUCCUUAUAUUUACUUCAUUGAAAUCUCAAUUCAUGGUCUCAAUUAUAUUUCAGUUUAAACUUCAAUUUUAAACUCAUCAUCUUUCUUUUCCUUAAUUUUUUGUAAUCUGUGUUGGCUUUGCUUGGCUUGACUUAUCUUUAAUUGUAAUCUGUGUUUAAGUACCAUAAACACUUAAAUUCAGUAUUCGAAACGUUCAAAUUAUGUGUCUAAGUUUUACAAGCCAGAGAGAGCAGUUCAGUCAGCCAGUCAUGAACAACUUGAUUUGUUCAAAUUAAAUAUAUUUCUAGGAAUAUGAAUUGCCUGAAUAUUUUUUAAUUUCUCUGUUCUUUUUAUGAAGAUGAUGUAAUCAAUUUGUGCUUAAUGUCCUCUGACAAUGUUAUGACUGAGGUUAAAUCAGUUUUUAUAAAUAAUAUAACCAUGAAAUUCAUAAAUGACAGGUCUUUGUAUGUUGAAUAUGAAGUUCCGCACUAAUAGUUGAACUUUAUAUUAUGAUUGAGGUUAAAUCAGUUUAAGCUUACCUUUGCAACAGAUUAUCAUUUACUUGUGUAGUUACCUCGAAUAUACGUGACGACGGAAUCCCAAAUUACAAAGUAAGUGUUGAAUUGUAAUAUCAUGGUAAUCAAUCGUAGUUUAAUUUCAUACAACUGUGAAUUAGUCCACCAAAAUCGAGCUUUAGAAUUUACUUACCAGAUCCUGAUGAAAAUGCCCUUUUGGCAUGGUUUUCGGUAAUUAUACUUAUUCUAAAAUCUUAAUUAAUUAAUGACGGAAACCCAUCCCUCUUUCCUACCAAAAACCCUUUCUUCUUCCACGAAAUGCUCUCCAUUAUUUCCAUUUAUUCAUCUGCAGAAUUUGCAUACAUCAAUCUCCUCCCUUUCCUUAAAUCUAUAAAAAAAUUCCUUCUUUGCAACAUUUUCAUCAAUCUAAACUCUUAAAAAUAGGUAACACUUUGUUGAAGAGGGAUGGUGUUUUUAAUCAUGUUUUCAUUUCGAUUCUUUUGAGUCCAAUUUAAAUGACAACCUUCUAUGUCUAUAAUUGAUUGGAAUCCUAUUACUGUAGCUCGAUUGAAAAAUUGAAAAAGAUAAGCAACCAAGAUCGGCAAUAAACACUACUACGUGUGGUGAGCUUAUGCCCAUUUUUUAAAAAAAACUGUUUGGUGAGUUUAUGCGUAUAUUUGAACACAAACUACUAUUCUCCAUGACUGCAUUCAUGACUAAGCAUUCCACUCACUAUCAUUGUUGAUUGAGUUUAGACUACAUGGGCACAUGUUGAUUCAAGUACCUUCUUAUGUUUGUGGUACCUGACAAUAUGCACAAUCAUUUUCAUCCUACUUGAGUACUUAGACAUCACAUGGUCUCCUACCCAUUUUUAUGUAGUGAAUUAUUUUUAGCUACUAUUAGUUUCAAAGAACACAAAUCUUUAACAAUUCUUCUUAUGGUUUCUGGUGGUGUUGAGAGCGUUAAUUGUUUUGUUAUUUUGAUUAGAGGUAGGAUUAUAUUAACAUUGUAAAAGACUUAAACAAGCAUAUACACUGUACGUAAUGUACCAUCGGGUUGGACCAAGCCAUACAGACAUCAUCUGUGGUAUAUAGAGAUGUGCAUAUAUUAACAGGGAAAAACAAAUUAGUCCAAGCUGAAAUGAAUUGUCAACUUGUGGGCUUGAUAUGUCCGCUUGCAAUAAAAUUAGAAUGAUUCGUUUGAUUUUCAAUUCCAAAAAAAAAAAAAAAAAAGGAAAUAGCUUACAUUAUAAGCGAAAAUUGAAUUUGUUGUGGGUAACAUCUGAAAGUUCUAACAAUCUGUAUGCUAUGUACAGUUUUCUCGGUAGAACAGCAUGGGGAAAAGAAAAAGAAACUCUAUGUCGACGGACUCUAUUAUUCGCAAUUGUAUUGGUGAAGCACCUUUGG